This 1269-nucleotide ribosomal RNA is filed under the name uncultured cyanobacterium. Its description in RNAcentral is "bacterial SSU rRNA". The stretch from base 1 to 1142 matches the Rfam family "Bacterial small subunit ribosomal RNA", at positions 359 to 1533 of the family's 1533-position model. The record is from RNAcentral. Lineage: Bacteria; Bacillati; Cyanobacteriota.
UAGACGCCAUGCCGCGCAGCCUGACGGAGCACGCCGCGUGAGGGACGAAGGCCUCUGGGCUGUAAACCUCUUUUCUCAAGGAAGAAGACAUGACGGUACUUGAGGAAUAAGCCACGGCUAAUUCCGUGCCAGCAGCCGCGGUAAUACGGGAGUGGCAAGCGUUAUCCGGAAUUAUUGGGCGUAAAGCGUCCGCAGGCGGCCUUGAAAGUCUGUUGUUAAAGCGUGGAGCUCAACUCCAUUUAAGCAAUGGAAACUACAAGGCUAGAGUGUGGUAGGGGCAGAGGGAAUUCCCGGUGUAGCGGUGAAAUGCGUAGAUAUCGGGAAGAACACCAGUGGCGAAGGCGCUCUGCUGGGCCAUAACUGACGCUCAUGGACGAAAGCCAGGGGAGCGAAAGGGAUUAGAUACCCCUGUAGUCCUGGCCGUAAACGAUGAACACUAGGUGUCGGAAGAAUUAACCCUUUCGGUGUCGUAGCCAACGCGUUAAGUGUUCCGCCUGGGGAGUACGCACGCAAGUGUGAAACUCAAAGGAAUUGACGGGGGCCCGCACAAGCGGUGGAGUAUGUGGUUUAAUUCGAUGCAACGCGAAGAACCUUACCAGGGUUUGACAUCCUGCGAAUCCCUUGGAAACGAGGGAGUGCCUUCGGGAACGCAGUGACAGGUGGUGCAUGGCUGUCGUCAGCUCGUGUCGUGAGAUGUUAGGUUAAGUCCCGCAACGAGCGCAACCCACGUCUUUAGUUGCCAGCAUUCAGUUGGGCACUCUAGAGAGACCGCCGGUGAUAAACCGGAGGAAGGUGUGGAUGACGUCAAGUCAUCAUGCCCCUUACAUCCUGGGCUACACACGUACUACAAUGCUACGGACAAAGGGCAGCAAACUCGCGAGAGCUAGCAAAUCCCAUAAACCGUGGCUCAGUUCAGAUCGUAGGCUGCAACUCGCCUACGUGAAGGAGGAAUCGCUAGUAAUCGCAGGUCAGCAUACUGCGGUGAAUACGUUCCCGGGCCUUGUACACACCGCCGUCACACCAUGAAGUUGGCCAUGCCCGAGUCGUUACUCAACCCGUAGGAGGAGACGCCGAAGGUGGGGCUGAUGACUGGGUGAAGUCGUAACAGUAGCCGUACGGGAGUGCCGCUGAUCACCUCUAACAGAGAACAAUACUGAUGUGAUGUCUUGCUAAGUAAUGGCUAGCAUGAAUCUGUCAUCUCCGAUGCUAUCGGUACUACGACGAAGGAAGCGAUGUAUCUCAAGCGAAUGGGAAUCCAAAGUUGAUCGU